GGGGAAUCUUCCGCAAUGGACGAAAGUCUGACGGAGCAACGCCGCGUGAGUGAUGACGGCCUUCGGGUUGUAAAGCUCUGUUAAUCGGGACGAAUGGUUCUUGUGCGAAUAGUGCGAGGAUUUGACGGUACCGGAAUAGAAAGCCACGGCUAACUACGUGCCAGCAGCCGCGGUAAUACGUAGGUGGCAAGCGUUGUCCGGAAUUAUUGGGCGUAAAGCGCGCGCAGGCGGAUUGGUCAGUCUGUCUUAAAAGUUCGGGGCUUAACCCCGUGAUGGGAUGGAAACUGCCAAUCUAGAGUAUCGGAGAGGAAAGUGGAAUUCCUAGUGUAGCGGUGAAAUGCGUAGAUAUUAGGAGGAACACCAGUGGCGAAAGCGGCUUUCUGGACGAAAACUGACGCUGAGGCGCGAAAGCCAGGGGAGCGAACGGGAUUAGAUACCCCGGUAGUCCUGGCCGUAAACGAUGGGUACUAGGUGUAGGAGGUAUCGACCCCUUCUGUGCCGGAGUUAACGCAAUAAGUACCCCGCCUGGGGAGUACGACCGCAAGGUUG
RNAcentral lists this ribosomal RNA (549 nucleotides) under uncultured bacterium. Its description in RNAcentral is "bacterial SSU rRNA". It matches the Rfam family "Bacterial small subunit ribosomal RNA", at positions 356 to 896 of the family's 1533-position model. The record is from RNAcentral.